RNAcentral lists this ribosomal RNA (707 nucleotides) under Stenotrophomonas maltophilia. RNAcentral describes it as "bacterial SSU rRNA". It matches the Rfam family "Bacterial small subunit ribosomal RNA", at positions 48 to 743 of the family's 1533-position model. The record is from RNAcentral. Lineage: Bacteria; Pseudomonadati; Pseudomonadota; Gammaproteobacteria; Lysobacterales; Lysobacteraceae.
CCUACACAUGCAAGUCGAACGGCAGCACAGGAGAGCUUGCUCUCUGGGUGGCGAGUGGCGGACGGGUGAGGAAUACAUCGGAAUCUACUUUUUCGUGGGGGAUAACGUAGGGAAACUUACGCUAAUACCGCAUACGACCUACGGGUGAAAGCAGGGGAUCUUCGGACCUUGCGCGAUUGAAUGAGCCGAUGUCGGAUUAGCUAGUUGGCGGGGUAAAGGCCCACCAAGGCGACGAUCCGUAGCUGGUCUGAGAGGAUGAUCAGCCACACUGGAACUGAGACACGGUCCAGACUCCUACGGGAGGCAGCAGUGGGGAAUAUUGGACAAUGGGCGCAAGCCUGAUCCAGCCAUACCGCGUGGGUGAAGAAGGCCUUCGGGUUGUAAAGCCCUUUUGUUGGGAAAGAAAUCCAGCUGGUUAAUACCCGGUUGGGAUGACGGUACCCAAAGAAUAAGCACCGGCUAACUUCGUGCCAGCAGCCGCGGUAAUACGAAGGGUGCAAGCGUUACUCGGAAUUACUGGGCGUAAAGCGUGCGUAGGUGGUCGUUUAAGUCCGUUGUGAAAGCCCUGGGCUCAACCUGGGAACUGCAGUGGAUACUGGACGACUAGAGUGUGGUAGAGGGUAGCGGAAUUCCUGGUGUAGCAGUGAAAUGCGUAGAGAUCAUGAGGAACAUCCAUGGCGAAGGCAGCUACCUGGACCCAACACUGA